Molecule: long non-coding RNA, 449 nt
Filed under: Mytilus galloprovincialis (Mediterranean mussel)
Lineage: Eukaryota; Metazoa; Mollusca; Bivalvia; Mytilida; Mytilidae
Source: RNAcentral
AAGUUAUCGCAUAUUUCCUGAAGCAGGCGAUGCAAUUUUAAACAUACAUGUAGUCAUUAUUCACAGAUAGUGUUAGACAUUGCAUGAUAUGCACAUGUGUAGAUCUAGCACUAUAAGUCCGAUACACUGUCAGAUUGAUCAAUCAUUUUUACGAAUAAUUGUUCGUCAUAAAGGGCAAUGUCAGGACAGUGAUACAUUGUUCUAAAUGAAUGUCAGAUAAAAAAUCAAUAUUUCAGCACUGAAGAAAAGUUAAAAUUGAGUGUACAAAAUUUGUAAAAGUAUCAAAUGCAAAUUCAUUGUACCAAAACUUACAACAACAAAACAAUGCGUGGCACACGCCCGUAAUAAAACAACAUAACAACACAAAGUCAUGAGGGACAACAUCAGAAGUUCAAUGAAGGAUAAAAAACUUAAUUCACAUAAUUUUUUCACUGACCACCACACCCCCC